CCGCCGUUAGCUCACUUGGAUAGAGCAUCAGAUUCCGAUUCUGGGGGCAGGGGGUUCGAAUCCCUCACGGCGGGCCA
RNAcentral lists this transfer RNA (77 nucleotides) under Bacillota bacterium. Its description in RNAcentral is "tRNA-Arg". It matches the Rfam family "tRNA". Rfam says of the family: Transfer RNA (tRNA) molecules are approximately 80 nucleotides in length. Their secondary structure includes four short double-helical elements and three loops (D, anti-codon, and T loops). The record is from RNAcentral. Lineage: Bacteria; Bacillati; Bacillota.